This 423-nucleotide unclassified non-coding RNA is filed under the name Hevea brasiliensis (rubber tree). The record is from RNAcentral. Lineage: Eukaryota; Viridiplantae; Streptophyta; Magnoliopsida; Malpighiales; Euphorbiaceae.
GUUCGGUAGUUUUGUGUCCCCAUCAGGGCUAUAUGGUAAGAGCCCUCAAAUUUCAUUUUCUAAAACACUCCACAGAACAAAUAGUACUAUCUCCAUAAUAUCUAAUGCAGCAAAAGAUGCUACUCAGAUUUGAAGGCUCGGUAACAAAACUGACUUAAUUCUAAUUCAAUUAAUUGAGGGAAUAUUACUGGGGCAUUAUGUGUGAUAACAUCAACUGGUUGUCAUAUUAGAAUAUUGUCAGUGGCCAAGGACAAUACAUAAAUAAAACCUCUUUGAAGUACUAGACACUAGACGGAUAAUCAGAAGAAAACUUGAUCUGAAUUAUUAAACGUUAUCUUCAAAAUUGUUGUUAGGAUGCAACAAGUGAUAUCAGAAUUAUGAACAUCAGGUGCCAAUACAACAAUAACAGACAUGUUUGACGAA